GGAAGAUGGGCUCGACUUUGAUUUGGGCGGGGCUAUUUUGUAGGUAAUAUGUUUUAUUCAAGCUCUGUUCUGCAAUUUUACUAAGGUCUCAACUUUAGUUAACGAAUCUAAGGUAUCUGGCACUUGAUUUUGUUUCAUGUUGCAAAUUGAAAUUUUUUAGCUCUCAUGAUGGAUGCUUGGUGAAUGGUGAAGAGAUUUUUUCUUUUUCACAACUCAAUGAGUUGUGUAGGGCGAUAGCGAAUGGUUAGUUGUGUUUUAUUUUUCAGGUGCCAGAGACCUUGGACUCUUGAUUAGAAUUAGACAAAAAGACAACUAUUAGUGAUCUUAAUGAAAGGCAUGGUAGGUUUUUUUUUUUUUUGAAGGAAUCCUUUUCUUAUUUUUAAUCACAUCUAGAUAAUUUUGAUCUUAGUUUUUGUGUAAGAAAAACGCUAAGAGACUGAUGAGAUUUGAUUGAAAAAUGUCAAGUAAAUGAAAAUUAUUUUUCUACUUAUUAACUAUCAUCUAGCUCAAAGAUGUUGGCUUUGCAUAGCAUCAAAAUGAUUUGUUGCCACCGUAGUUGAUUUUAAGACUAGUUUGGCUGUUUCCCAACUAUUUUAUGAGUUUUAUUUGACUAAGAUUUUUACUUUGGAAUUCAGAUUGCAUAUUUAUUAAAUUUGUUAAUCUUUGGGUUAUGUAGAGAUUGAUAGUGGCUUGGACCAAGUUGAACAACCUUCUGAGCAAAAACCAGGAUAAAUUGAGUCAGACAGCUGCCAAGAUGGUAAGCAUGGGAUUUAGAGAGAAAGUUGUUCUGCUAUUGGUUUUGGGGUGUAUUAUUUCACUGAUCAGUCCUUACAAAAUAUAGCGGAUAGUGCUCCAACUGGGAGGCAGGUCUCCCCUGACAAGCAGUACAGGACAUCUCUAUUAAAGAAUAAGUUUGCUGAUACAAUUUUAAGAGCACAAGAGAAAACUCUGAAUGAUGGUGAUAAAGGGGAUCCUGAGAAAUUGCGGCGGGAGAGGGAGGAACUUUAACUGCAGCAGAGAAAAG
This is a long non-coding RNA of Humulus lupulus (European hop), 1024 nucleotides long. RefSeq lists it as uncharacterized. The record is from RefSeq and is a predicted model, not a curated record. Lineage: Eukaryota; Viridiplantae; Streptophyta; Magnoliopsida; Rosales; Cannabaceae. The transcript is spliced from 2 exons.